AUCCCAAACAGCAGCUCCCUGGGCUCAUCUCUCCUGCUGUCCCCGUCGGAAAAUCCAUACCCACAACCUUUCCCAGCCUUUCGUCUGCCUCUGGAGAAUCAGGGAAGCCAAUGGGAGCAUUGUUCGCUUGACAACCGUGCUGUCCUUCAGGGUACAGACGCGCGGUGGGCGUCAUUGACCACAGGAGCGUAUGAGAAAGGAAGCCUUAGGUAUUGUGCCUCAUGCCACAGGUUCUGGUGGCCCCUCCCUCGGGAGGCUUGGCUUGGGAUCACUUCUGUUUUGCGGUACUGUGUGUAACCUUGGCAUGCAAUCAGCAGAGAAAAUAUUCAUUAUUGCCUGACUGUCUGCCGAAGACAAUUUCAAUUAUUCUGGCAUUUCAAUGGAUGAAGAAGCCCUUUAGGCUGGCCCCGGAGAUUAGACUUACAGGCUCCGUAAAUUAGGAAAGUUACAAUCAGUAUAUUAUCUGGCAGGCAGCUGUGGGAUACGGCACAGCAGGCAAAGAGAGACAAAUUGCUAUAUUCCGGUCGCGGUUUUGAUAUAUCAAUUUACAAGUUUAACAUACACAUUUGGGAAAGAAUGAUUUUGCAUUUCUUAAAUCACUUUUAACUGCCUGCACUCGAAGUUUCUGAACCUGUAACUUGAAUAGCCGGCUUGCCUUGCUGACGUUUUGUUUUAAAGCCCAAUUUCAGCUCGGAAAAAAAUAUUGCUGAGGACAGAGCUUGGGAAUUAAUCUUUCCUAAAGUUAUUCAAAUAAUAUAAUAUAUGGCAGUUAAGCGGAAUAUUCCAUUUGCAGAAAUGUGAAUGAUGUCCCACAUAAAGGCUUUUUCUUUAAUGGGAUGUUUUCCUGUCUUUUCUCCACCCCCACCCCCCCGCCCAAGAAUCUCUGUUGUGAUUAUUACAUCGACAUAUUUAAUAUAUAUUAUUUCACCAUGCCUGUCUGAUAACGAUACAUCUGAAAAUAAAAAUAGCGAGCAUAAUAACCUAUCACGACACCUUACAAACGGUUGCAUAAGUGAGGUCUAUUGGUAAAGAAGUUUUUCACGACUCUUCAAGUUGUUUCGGAACAUUUUUGAUAUCUUAGCACUCACCUAUCAUUUGCACAAUAGAUUUGCUUUUCACCUUCGUAAAAUCCCUUUAAAAAAUACAUUUGGAGGCUGCUGAAUGCUUUGCAGCUAUGCCUCAAGUAGAGCUAACCGUUCCUAGCUGAGUUUAAGCUGAGUUUCAGAAGAUUUGGUUGGCUUUGGGUUAAUGUGAAAAAUAUUUUCUUCGAACUAGAUGGUUACCUUGAAAACUGUUCAUUUUCACAUUUGCACACGUCCUUUAUAAAGCAAGUCAAGAGACAUAAAGAAUCAUUAAAAUGCAGCUAUUUAUAAGAAAGCUUUGUAAAAAGCAUGCGGGGGGGGCCUCCACUAGCCCCCAGAUAACUCCUACUUUCUAAUAGGCCCCUCUGAAAUUCAAAACGAGCACACAAAACUCCAGAGGAAGCUUCUUUGCUCUGGAAAUAUUUACAUUUACCGGGUAGAGCAGACGGGCGGGUUUGGAUAUAUCGUCAUUCUCAGUUUAUUUGAAAAGAGUUUGAGAGGGGCGCCUGGGUGGCGCAGUCGGUUAAGCGUCCGACUUCAGCCAGGUCACGAUCUCGCGGUCCGUGAGUUCGAGCCCCGCGUCGGGCUCUGGGCUGAUGGCUCAGAGCCUGGAGCCUGUUUCCGAUGCUGUGUCUCCCUCUCUCUCUGCCCCUCCCCCGUUCAUGCUCUGUCUCUCUCUGUCCCAAAAAUAAAUAAACGUUGAAAAAAAAAAAAAUUUAAAAAAAAAAAAAAAGAAAAGAGUUUGAGAAUUUUAACUUCAGAAAGUUCUAUCGGGUAUUAGGGUGAAACACCAGUGACUAGCCUGCGACUGGGGCCCUCGCGGUCUGGGUUGAAUUCAACACGCCUUCUACGGGACUGUCCCCAUACGCCUUGUCAGAAAGGGGCUUCCCAAUCAAUAACACGGAACUCGUUCUUUCCCCUCCCUGUUUACGGAGCCAGAUUGCUCACGAGGGACAGCGCUUGUCUUGUACAACACCCAGGAAGUGCCCUCGAUCGCAAACACUGCCGCUCGACUGUGGCCUUGCUCAGUCCAUUGUGCUGUUGUGUUUUCUCAUGGGGACCGCUGGGCUAAUCCAGGCAAGCAUCUGCAAUUCUUAAACGGACAGUUCCAGGCUAGAGAAUUUAAGAGACAACCGAAUCGAGUUUUAAUGCCCUGUUAGAUAAUAAUGAAAGACAUUUAUGGAAAAAAAAGAAAUCCCAGUUAGUUUGAAAGCCCGGGCCCACACUCCGUAUUCUGACAGCAGAUGGAUGGCUACCUCAACUAAUCCCGGUUUACUUUGUGACUCGGAUUUGUCUCGCUGGUCCAGUGAGAUGGUGAGGGCUUCCUCCAAUCUGGUUAAUGCUCGGAACCAGUGUUUGAGUUUUAGACUAAUUAUGGGCCAAUAACUGACAUUUUUUUCUAUAAUGUGAAGACUGGUGCCAGCGGGAACUCAGUGAGAUUUAACAUAAAAGCAAGAUAAAACAAUUAAAGUGGAAGAAUAUUUGAUUAAGUGGACCGCUGAUUUAUAGUGGGGUAAAUUGAAAUUGAAAGGAGAGUGAACUUUUUAUGGCAAUCAUAUAUUACGUUCAUUAUCAGAGACUCUGGGUCUUUUGUGCUUCUGCGCUUU
This 2689-nucleotide long non-coding RNA is filed under the name Lynx pardinus (Iberian lynx). Lineage: Eukaryota; Metazoa; Chordata; Mammalia; Carnivora; Felidae. The record is from RNAcentral.